AGAGUUUGAUCCUGGCUCAGAAUGAACGCUGGCGGCGUGCCUAACACAUGCAAGUCGAAUGUGCCGCAAGGUGCAUGGCAGACGGGUGAGUAACGCGUGGGGAAUCUACCUCUUUGUGGGGAAUAACGCUCCGAAAGGAGUGGUAAUACCGCAUGAGACCGCAGACUGGGAUGUCUGUGGUGAAACCUGGGGACCAGCAAUGGCCUGGGGCAAGGAGAGGAUCCUGCGUCUGAUUAGCUAGUUGGUAGGGUAACGGCCUACCAAGGCGACGAUCGGUAGCCGGCCUGAGAGGGUGAUCGGCCACAUUGGGACUGAGACACGGCCCAGACUCCUACGGGAGGCAGCAGUGGGGAAUCUUGGGCAAUGGGCGAAAGCCUGACCCAGCGACGCCGCGUGGGGGAUGAAGGCCUUUGGGUUGUAAACCCCUGUCGUCAGGGACGAAGGUGCACAGGUUAAUAGCGUGUGUGCUUGACGGUACCUGGAGAGGAAGCCCCGGCUAACUCUGUGCCAGCAGCCGCGGUAAUAC
This 526-nucleotide ribosomal RNA is filed under the name uncultured Holophagaceae bacterium. Its description in RNAcentral is "bacterial SSU rRNA". It matches the Rfam family "Bacterial small subunit ribosomal RNA", at positions 8 to 526 of the family's 1533-position model. Lineage: Bacteria; Pseudomonadati; Acidobacteriota; Holophagae; Holophagales; Holophagaceae. The record is from RNAcentral.